AGCAGCCGCGGUAAUUCCAGCUCCAAUAGCGUAUAUUAAAGUUGUUGCAGUUAAAAAGCUCGUAGUUGAAUUUCGGGGUCAAUAAGUUGGUCAUGCCAAUGGUAUGCACUGGCUUUAUUGAUUCCUACCUCUUGACGAACUGUGAUGCCAUUAAUUUGGUGUUGCAAGGAAUCAGGACUGUUACCUUGAAAAAAUUAGAGUGUUUAAAGCAAGCUUACGCUUGAAUACAUUAGCAUGGAAUAAUGAAAUAGGACGUUUGAUCCUAUUUUGUUGGUUUCUAGGAUCGACGUAAUGAUUAAUAGGGAUAGUUGGGGGCAUUAGUAUUCAAUUGUCAGAGGUGAAAUUCUUGGAUUUAUUGAAGACUAACUACUGCGAAAGCAUUUGCCAAGGAUGUUUUCAUUAAUCAAGAACGAAAGUUAGGGGAUCGAAGACGAUCAGAUACCGUCGUAGUCUUAACCAUAAACUAUGCCGACUAGGGAUCGGAUGAUGUUAAUUUUUAANGACUCAUUC
Molecule: ribosomal RNA, 510 nt
Filed under: uncultured Glomus
Lineage: Eukaryota; Fungi; Glomeromycota; Glomeromycetes; Glomerales; Glomeraceae
Description: SSU rRNA
Rfam family: Eukaryotic small subunit ribosomal RNA
Source: RNAcentral